AGAGUUUGAUCCUGGCUCAGAUUGAACGCUGGCGGCAUGCUUUACACAUGCAAGUCGAACGGGGUGAGGGGGCAACUCUUCAUUCAGUGGCGAACGGGUGAGUAAUGCAUCGGAACGUGUCCCGUAGUGGGGGAUAACGCCGCGAAAGCGGCGCUAAUACCGCAUAUGCUCUACGGAGGAAAGUGGGGGAUCGCAAGACCUCACGCUAUGGGAGCGGCCGAUGUCCGAUUAGCUAGUUGGUGGGGUAAUGGCUUACCAAGGCGACGAUCGGUAGCUGGUCUGAGAGGAUGAUCAGCCACACUGGGACUGAGACACGGCCCAGACUCCUACGGGAGGCAGCAGUGGGGAAUUUUGGACAAUGGGGGCAACCCUGAUCCAGCCAUGCCGCGUGCGGGAAGAAGGCCUUCGGGUUGUAAACCGCUUUUAGCCGGGAAGAAAAGGCGGGGGCUAAUACCCUCUGUUUUUGACGGUACCGGCGGAAUAAGCACCGGCUAACUACGUGCCAGCAGCCGCGGUAAUACGUAGGGUGCGAGCGUUAAUCGGAAUUACUGGGCGUAAAGCGUGCGCAGGCGGUUCGUUGUGUCUGUGGUGAAAGCCCCGGGCUUAACCUGGGAAUGGCCAUGGAAACUGGCGGACUUGAGUGUGGCA
Molecule: ribosomal RNA, 648 nt
Filed under: uncultured bacterium
Lineage: Bacteria
Description: bacterial SSU rRNA
Rfam family: Bacterial small subunit ribosomal RNA
Source: RNAcentral